Molecule: non-coding RNA, 136 nt
Organism: Triticum urartu
Lineage: Eukaryota; Viridiplantae; Streptophyta; Magnoliopsida; Poales; Poaceae
Source: Rfam
UGGCAGUGAUGAGAAAUUGAAAGGCUGGUCUUAUGGCUGCCUCCGAGACACGAAUAUUCGAGAUCUUCUCGUCGUCGUUCCGGGAUGGUAGUAGCAUGAUGUGAUAUGAUUCGGCGAAAGGUUUUCUCUGAGCCAU